UGCACUCACUACUGUAUGUUGCUCUGGAGAAGAGCAUCUGCUAAAUGACUAAAA
Molecule: non-coding RNA, 54 nt
Organism: Salmo salar (Atlantic salmon)
Lineage: Eukaryota; Metazoa; Chordata; Actinopteri; Salmoniformes; Salmonidae
Source: Rfam